Molecule: ribosomal RNA, 443 nt
Filed under: uncultured bacterium
Lineage: Bacteria
Description: partial 16S ribosomal RNA
Rfam family: Bacterial small subunit ribosomal RNA
Source: RNAcentral
CCUACGGGGGGCAGCAGUGGGGAAUAUUGGGCAAUGGGCGCAAGCCUGACCCAGCAACGCCGCGUGAAGGAAGAAGGCCCUCGGGUUGUACACUUCUUUUGUCAGGGACGAAACAAAUGACGGUACCUGACGAAUAAGCCACGGCUAACUACGUGCCAGCAGCCGCGGUAAUACGUAGGUGGCAAGCGUUAUCCGGAUUUACUGGGUGUAAAGGGCGUGUAGGCGGGAGAGCAAGUCAGAUGGUAAAUUCCAGGGCUCAACCCUGGAACUGCAUUUGAAACUGUUUUUCUUGAGUGAUGGAGAGGCAGGCGGAAUGCCGUGUGUAGCGGUGAAAUGCGUAGAUAUACGGAGGAACACAAGUGGCGAAGGCGGCCUGCUGGACAUUAACUGACGCUGAGGCGCGAAAGCGUGGGGAGCAAACAGGAUUAGAUACCCUAGUAGUC